AGUGAGUUGUACCUUGUACCAUAGCUUGACAGCUUGUACGUAAUAAUUAGCACUGUACACAUUACUUCGUUUUGAAACGGUAAACAUGGAAUUUGAAUGGACCGAAGAAAUAAUAUUGGACCUAACAGUUGAAGUGAAAAGACCCAAAAAUUA
Molecule: long non-coding RNA, 153 nt
Organism: Acyrthosiphon pisum (pea aphid)
Lineage: Eukaryota; Metazoa; Arthropoda; Insecta; Hemiptera; Aphididae
Exons: 2
Source: RefSeq, a predicted model, not a curated record